RNAcentral lists this ribosomal RNA (301 nucleotides) under uncultured bacterium. RNAcentral describes it as "partial 16S ribosomal RNA". It matches the Rfam family "Bacterial small subunit ribosomal RNA", at positions 509 to 807 of the family's 1533-position model. The record is from RNAcentral.
CAGCCGCCGCGGGAAUACGUAGGGUGCAAGCGUUAAUCGGAAUUACUGGGCGUAAAGCGCACGUAGGCGGAUCGAUCAGUCAGGGGUGAAAUCCCAGAGCUCAACUCUGGAACUGCCUUUGAUACUGUCGAUCUGGAGUAUGGAAGAGGUGAGUGGAAUUCCGAGUGUAGAGGUGAAAUUCGUAGAUAUUCGGAGGAACACCAGUGGCGAAGGCGGCUCACUAGUCCAUUACUGACGCUGAGGUGCGAAAGCGUGGGGAGCAAACAGGAUUAGAUACCCCUGUAGUCCCUGUCUCUUAUAC